GGCUGGAUGAGUUUGAUCCAUUCUUCUCUGCCUGGAAGAAUCAUUGAAAGAAACCUCAGGGAUGAGAGGAGCCAACUCCUCAUUCUGCAGACAAGGAAGCUAGGAUUUAUUUCCACAUUACUUACAACAAAACAGAAAAGUAUCUGUAUCGCAAGUGGAAAAACAUCUACCCUCUGGAUCAGGAGUUUUGGCAGACACCUCAAAUCCAAAUCAUAACCACGCCUUUUGGGAAACCAGUCAACACAGCUGCAGAAGAAACACUUGCUAGCUACCCACACUGACUACUGUAUAAAUGGACAACAACGGAUGAAUACUAGGUCUUUGAGGAAAAUCAACAGUAUGUAAAAGAGAAGCACCUAGAACUGCUUUGAGGAAAAAGAGGCAAUUUAAGAAACAGAAGAGGAAAAAAAAUCCCUGAGGUAAGAGCACUCAUUAAAGCAACAAUAAAAACAGACUGCUCUGAAAACCUUAGAACCAGAGAACAAGAAAUAAUUAUAUAAAGUUUAAAGCCUGAAAUGAAAAGUUCAACAAGAAGUCUGAACAACAGAAUAGGCCAAAUGAAUGAUCUGGAAGACGAGGCCCAGGAAAUCUAUCAGAAUUUGGAGCAAAACUACAAGGAGAUGAAACAUACGAGGAAGAGUUAAUAUAAAAAGGAUUAAUCCAUGGAGGCCAAAACACCAAUUGAACAGGAAUUCCAGAGCCAGAGAACAGAGACAGAGGCAGGAAGGAAAUAAUAGGAAAAAAUAUUUCUUUAAGCUUAUAGAGAGACAAGAACCAUGUAUCUUAAAGGAGCCACUGAAAGCCAGUGGAACUAAUGUAAAAAGAUCCACACCAGAAAAUUCUGGUGAAAUGAACAGGUUCCAAGAAUAAAAAAUGAAAUCUGAAAAAUUCCCAGAGAGAAAAAGAAGUCUUAUCUACUAUAUUGGACAACAGAAGUUAUAGUUCUACAUUUCAUGUUUGCUUUUCUUUCUUCAUUCUCUCAGUAAGAGCAACUUCCUUCCUUCCUGCUUUACCUCCUUCCGUCUUUCCUUUCUUCCUCCAUACUUCUUUUCCUUCCUUCCUUUUCAGCUGAAAGUCUUUUCUCUUUCCAUAUCAUUCAGAUAGACAAUCCAGGCCACAGGAAGAAGCUCAGGACCUAAACUUGACUAGAGAAUUCCUCUCUCUAGUUAGAGUGAUUAACUUAGAAUGGGAACAGGAUGCAAAAGAACUCACUCAGAUCCUCCCAGGAUUUUCAGGUGAUAAUGGGGAAGCCAGUCCCUUUCUUGAGAGGUUAUGUGACUACAGGGAUAUUAGCUCUAGCUGCAUGUAGUUAUCUUUCUUGCAGAGAGGAACUUGCUGUUUUAGUGUAGAAUGAACCAAACAUACAGAGAAAAACAAAGUCACAAGAAAUGGAAAAGAGCCCCAAUGACACUGUUUAGACCACUGGAUUCAUCCACACUGGAGGCAAGAUCCGCUUCUUGGCUCCCCAGGUAUGAGUCAAUAAAUUCUUUACUUGACUAAA
Molecule: long non-coding RNA, 1501 nt
Organism: Marmota monax (woodchuck)
Lineage: Eukaryota; Metazoa; Chordata; Mammalia; Rodentia; Sciuridae
Exons: 3
Source: RefSeq, a predicted model, not a curated record